RNAcentral lists this ribosomal RNA (374 nucleotides) under uncultured organism. RNAcentral's name for it is "bacterial SSU rRNA". It matches the Rfam family "Bacterial small subunit ribosomal RNA", at positions 526 to 896 of the family's 1533-position model. The record is from RNAcentral.
CAGAGGGUGCGAGCGUUGUUCGGAAUUACUGGGCGUAAAGCGCGCGCAGGCGGCCUUUUAAGUCUACCCGUGAAAUGCCGGAGCUCAACUCCGUGCACGCCGGGGGAUACUGGGAGGCUGGAGACAUGUAGAGGCAAGCGGAAUUCCGGGUGUAGCGGUGGAAUGCGUAGAUAGCCGGAAGAACACCUGAGGCGAAGGCGGCUUGCUGGGCAUGAUCUGACGCUGAGGCGCGAAAGCGUGGGGAGCAAACAGGAUUAGAUACCCUGGUAGUCCACGCCGUAAACGAUGGGCACUAGACGCGGGUGGGAUCGACCCCUUCCGUGUCGCAGCUAACGCGAUAAGUGCCCCGCCUGGGGAGUACGGCCGCAAGGCUG